Molecule: ribosomal RNA, 163 nt
Filed under: uncultured bacterium
Lineage: Bacteria
Description: partial 16S ribosomal RNA
Rfam family: Bacterial small subunit ribosomal RNA
Source: RNAcentral
GUAAUCACAGGUCAGCAUACUGUGGUGAAUACGUUCCCGGGCCUUGUACACACCGCCCGUCCACACCAUGAGAGUUAGGGAUACCCGAAGCCUGUGAGCUAACUUUUAGAGGCAGNAGUCGAAGGUAGAACUAAUGAUUGGGGUGAAGUCGUAACAAGGUAUC